UAGGCUCAGCCCCUGGAACCCUGCUUCCCAUCGAUCCUCUAGCAGAAUGUGCUCCAGUUCCUGGCUUCUUGGGGUCUGCAAAGGGAUGCUCCCUUCCCCGCUCUGCCCCAUGCCCAACUUUAAAUUCUUGUUUAAGACAGUGAACACACACUAAGACAUGAGGUACGUGAGCCUUCAUCCCUGGCACCCUGCCCCUCCCCUUCCUCUCUGCCUUCUAGGUUCUGUAAGGCCCAGGCCCAGGCCCUCCUCAAAUCAUAUUCACAGCCCAAGUCAUUCCAUGUAGCACAUCACCCAGUGCUAUUUUCUUUUUUCUUUUUUUUUUAAGACGGAGUCUCACUGUUUCCCAGGCUAGAGUGCAUUCCUGGCAUGUCACAGGCUUUCUCCAUUAAGCUCUCUUGCCCCUGCAGUUCACUCCUGCCAUCUCCUCUGUGAGUCCUCUGCGGACCACCCUAGGCAAGCAAAGGGAUUAGGAGCUUGGCCACUAGACCCAAAGUGGCUGAGUUAGAAUCCCAGCCCCGUUACCAGCUAUGACACUAGGCAAGUCACUUUCUCUCUCUGGGCCUCUGUAAGAUGACAAUGAUAGAAUCUAUUCAAUUACUGUGUGGUCUGAGUUAAUCC
Molecule: long non-coding RNA, 618 nt
Organism: Homo sapiens (human)
Lineage: Eukaryota; Metazoa; Chordata; Mammalia; Primates; Hominidae
Source: Ensembl